CUAGAUUGGAGUGCAGCAAAGAGAUGUUCAUCAUCGGGAUGUGGCAUGAAUGACACAAGCUGGCAGUCAGCUGGAAGAUAAAGCAAAUUGAUGAGGGGUCACCCCUUCCUAGGGAGAUGAGUGGGAUCACUCGAGAAUUCCUCCAAGUGGAAUAGCUGGGUUCAAGAAUAUGUGCAUUUUACAUUUGAUAAAUGUGGCCAAAUUGCCCUCCCAAAAGCGGAAUCCAUUUACACUCCCAUUAGCAGCCAGCUUAGGAGAGUUUAUUUUCCUACAUCUUUGCCAACAAUGACCUUUGGAGAUGUAUCUUGAAAGAAGUUGCUGUGGGCGAUGUCAAAGAGGUUACUGCCUAUGUUCUCCUCUAGGAUUUUGAUGGAUUCCUGUCUCACAUUGAGGUCUUUCAUCCAUUUUGAGUUUAUCUUUGUGUAUGGUAUUAGAGAAUGGUCGAGUUUCAUUCUUCUGUAUAUAGCUGUCCAAUUUUCCCAGCACCAUUUAUUGAAGAGACUGUCUUUUUUCCAUUGCAUAUUUUUUCCUACUUUGUCGAAGAUUAUUUGACCAUAGAGUUGAGGGUCCAUUUCUGGGCUCUCUAUUCUAUUCCAUUGGUCUAUAUGUCUGUUUUUGUGCCAGUACCAUGCUGUCUUGGUGGUCACUGCUUUGUAAUAUAGCUGAAAUCUGGCAACGUGAUGCCCCCAGCUUUGUUUUUCUUUUUCAACAUUUCCUUGGCGAUUCGGGGUCUUUUCUGAUUCCAUACAAAUUUUAGGAUUGUUUGUUCCAACACUUUGAAAAAUGUCAUUGGAAUUUUGAUCGGGAUGGCAUUGAAGACACAGAUGUAGUGAAAAGAAGGGCCAUAUGCACCCCAAUGUUCAUAGCAGCAAUGUCCAUAAUAGCCAAACCGUGGAAAGAGCUGAGAUGCCCUUCAACAGAUGAAUGGAUAAAGAAGAUGUGGUCCAUAUAUACAAUGGAAUAUUACUCAGCCUUCAGAAAAGAUGAAUACCCAACUUUUACAUCAACAUGGAUGGGACUGGAAGAGAUUAUGCCAAGUGAAAUAAGUCAAGCAGAGAAAGUCAAUUAUCAUAUGGUUUCACUUGUUUGUGGAACAUAAGGAAUAACAUGGAGGACAUUAGGCGAAGGAAGGGAAAAAUGAAGGCGGGGGGGAAUCGGAGCGAGAGACAAACCAUGAGAGACUAUGGAUUCUGAGAAACAAACUGAGGGUUUUACGGGGGAGCAGCGUAGGUGGAUGAGUUAGCCCGGUGAUGGGUAUUAAGGAGGGCACAUACUGGAUGGAGCACUGGGUGUUAUACAAAAACAAUGAAUCGUGGAUCACUAUAUCAAAAACUAAUGAUACAUUGUAUGGUGACUAACAUAAUAAAAUAAAAUAAAAUAAAAAGAAAUUCAGAUAAACAGAAAAGUUGGAAGAACUGUACAAUAAACACCACACACCUCUCAUAUAGGUCCACUAAUUUUGCCAUAGUUGUUGUAGCUCUGUGUGCAUGUAUGCACGUACACACACAUACACAUUUAUCCUCUGAACCAUUUAAAAGUUGCUGAUACGGGCGCCUGGGUGGCUCAGUUGGUUAAGCGACUGCCUUCGGCUCAGGUCAUGAUCCUGGAGUCCCUGGAUCGAGUCCCGCAUCGGGCUCCCUGCUCGGCAGGGAGUCUGCUUCUCCCUCUGACCCUCCCAACCCUCCCCCCUCUCAUGUGCUCUCUCUCUCAGUCUCUCUCUCUCAAAUAAAUAAAUAAAAUCUUUAAAAAUAAAUAAAUAAAUAAAAAUAAAUAAAUAAAAUAAAAGUUGCUGAUAUGAUAACUCUUCACGCCUGAAAUCUUUAGCAUGUGUCUCCUAAAAAUAAAAACACUUCUCUACAUAAUUGUGAUGUCAUCAUCACACUCAAUAAAUACAAAUUUGAUAAACUAAUACCUAAGAAUGGUCCAUGUUCGAAUUUCUCCAGUUGGCCUGAUUAUGUCCUUUAUAGCUUCUUAGUUUUCUUCCGAAGCAUAGAAAACAUUUAAAAUUGUCAUGUCUUGGGGCACCUGGGUGGCUCAUUCCAUAAGCGUUUGCCUUCGGCUCAGGUCAUGAUCCCAGGGUCCUGGGAUCGAGCCCCUCAUCGGGCUCCCUGCCCUGCGGGAAGCCUGCUUCUCCCUCUCCCACUCCCCCUGCUUGUGUUCCCCCUCUCUCUGUGUG
Long non-coding RNA from Mirounga angustirostris (Northern elephant seal), 2176 nucleotides. RefSeq lists it as uncharacterized. The record is from RefSeq and is a predicted model, not a curated record. The transcript is spliced from 3 exons. NCBI's taxonomy places the organism in Eukaryota, Metazoa, Chordata, Mammalia, Carnivora, Phocidae.